This 253-nucleotide ribosomal RNA is filed under the name uncultured bacterium. Its description in RNAcentral is "partial 16S ribosomal RNA". It matches the Rfam family "Bacterial small subunit ribosomal RNA", at positions 524 to 776 of the family's 1533-position model. The record is from RNAcentral.
GACGAACCGUGCGAACGUUGUUCGGAAUCACUGGGCUUAAAGGGCGCGUAGGCGGGCUGCCAAGUCUGGGGUGAAAUCCCACGGCUCAACCGUGGAACUGCCUCGGAUACUGGCGGCCUCGAGGGAGGUAGGGGCAUGCGGAACUGUGGGUGGAGCGGUGAAAUGCGUUGAUAUCCACAGGAACUCCGGUGGCGAAAGCGGCGUGCUGGACCUCUUCUGACGCUGAGGCGCGAAAGCUAGGGGAGCAAACGGG